GACGAACGCUGGCGGCGUGCUUAACACAUGCAAGUCGAACGGAAAGGCCCUGCUUUUGUGGGGUGCUCGAGUGGCGAACGGGUGAGUAACACGUGAGUAACCUGCCCUUGACUUUGGGAUAACUUCAGGAAACUGGGGCUAAUACCGGAUAGGAGCUCCUGCUGCAUGGUGGGGGUUGGAAAGUUUCGGCGGUUGGGGAUGGACUCGCGGCUUAUCAGCUUGUUGGUGGGGUAGUGGCUUACCAAGGCUUUGACGGGUAGCCGGCCUGGGAGGGUGACCGGCCACAUUGGGACUGAAAUACGGCCCAGACUCCUACGGGAGGCAGCAGUGGGGAAUAUUGCACAAGGGGCGGAAGCCUGAUGCAGCAACGCCGCGUGCGGGAUGACGGCCUUCGGGUUGUAAACCGCUUUCGCCUGUGACGAAGCGUGAGUGACGGUAAUGGGUAAAGAAGCACCGGCUAACUACGUG
This 468-nucleotide ribosomal RNA is filed under the name uncultured bacterium. Its description in RNAcentral is "partial 16S ribosomal RNA". It matches the Rfam family "Bacterial small subunit ribosomal RNA", at positions 28 to 507 of the family's 1533-position model. The record is from RNAcentral.